RNAcentral lists this ribosomal RNA (118 nucleotides) under Lepisosteus oculatus (spotted gar). Lineage: Eukaryota; Metazoa; Chordata; Actinopteri; Semionotiformes; Lepisosteidae. The record is from RNAcentral.
UCCAGCAGCCAUAUCACCCUGUAGUUCUCAGCUGGCAGCCCACUGAAGCUCAGGAGGAUUGAGCCUGGCCAGUACCUGUAUGGGAGACCUCCUGGGAAAGCUAAGGCUGCUGCUGGAA